Lontra canadensis (Northern American river otter) is the source of this 661-nucleotide long non-coding RNA. RefSeq lists it as uncharacterized. The transcript is spliced from 3 exons. The record is from RefSeq and is a predicted model, not a curated record. NCBI's taxonomy places the organism in Eukaryota, Metazoa, Chordata, Mammalia, Carnivora, Mustelidae.
ACAUGACGCACAGCGCUGCCCGGCAGCGAUGCCCCGAGGGCGGCCGCGGGGUCUCCCUGUCUCGGCGAGGCCCUUGUCACAGGCCGAAGCAACACAUGUUUAUUGAGGAACAGUUGGAAAACCCAGAAGAACCGAAAGAAGAAAACACUUAGCUGAAGACAACCAUUCAAAAGAUGUAAUCGAGUUAAGAUGAGGCCACACUGGAAUAGGACUGGUGUCCUUAUAAGAAGAGGGUAAUUUGGACACAGAAACACAGAAGAAAGAAGGCCUGGUGAAGAUGAUGGCAGACAUUGGAGUGAUGCAACCACAAGCCAAGGAAAUCCAAGGACUGCCAACACCAGAAGAGAGGCAUGGGACAGAUUAUCUGUGAGAACCUCCAUAAGGAACUAACCCCGCUGACAACUUCAUUUCAGACUUGUGCCCUCCAGAACUGUAAAUGAAGACAUUUCUGUUGUCUUAAGCCACCAGUUUGUGCUAAUUUAUUACAGCAGUCCUAGCAAACUAAAACACUGUGAAGCCAUUUAUAAUCUUCCCAAAGCUCUCAUUUCUUUUGCAGUCUCCUCAUUUACCAUGAUUUUUUUUAACUUGCUACUUAAUGUCGCUUAAGUGAAGGAAAAAUGUCAUUUAAAAUUAUUAGCACAGGGUGCCUGGGUGGCUCAGU